UACGUAGGGGGCAAGCGUUAUCCGGAUUUACUGGGUGUAAAGGGAGCGUAGACGGUGAUGCAAGUCAGAAGUGAAAGCCCGGGGCUCAACUCCGGGACUGCUUUUGAAACUGUUGAACUAGAUUGCAGGAGAGGUAAGUGGAAUUCCUAGUGUAGCGGUGAAAUGCGUAGAUAUUAGGAGGAACACCAGUGGCGAAGGCGGCUUACUGGACGAUGACUGACGCUGAGGCACGAAAGCGUGGGUAUCGAACAGG
Molecule: ribosomal RNA, 253 nt
Filed under: uncultured Coprococcus sp.
Lineage: Bacteria; Bacillati; Bacillota; Clostridia; Lachnospirales; Lachnospiraceae
Description: partial 16S ribosomal RNA
Rfam family: Bacterial small subunit ribosomal RNA
Source: RNAcentral